Molecule: non-coding RNA, 3049 nt
Organism: Phascolarctos cinereus (koala)
Lineage: Eukaryota; Metazoa; Chordata; Mammalia; Diprotodontia; Phascolarctidae
Source: RefSeq, a predicted model, not a curated record
GAAUAGAAUUAACAUCUCAAGAGUCCUUAAGUCUGUUAAGUCUGGAUUUAGAGACUCUGGAAUAAUCUCAGCAUGCCAGAGUAUGAGCAAAUUGGCUACAUCCCCUAUAUACCUAGGCAUCUAGUGGUACAGGGUAGCGUAAUGGCUGCUAUGAUGACCAUUAAUUUGGACUCCAGCUAAGCUACAAGAAGGAGUUCCUUCUGGUAUAGAUCAUUUUUGAUAAGCCACUACUUAAUGGUAUUCCCAGAUUGAAUUUUGGGUCAAUGACUUAAUAUAUGGGAAUGACAACCAUCUAUCCAGGAGUGGAGUUCAUCUGAUGUUGGCUGGUAAGAAUGCAUUUACUUGGGGUCUUACAAAUCUGUUCAACAGUGCUUUGAAGUGAAGAGAAAGUGGGAGGGGGAAAACUGCAUACACACACACACACACAUGUAUGUACUCAUACAAACAUAUGCGUGUAUACCCACAUAUGAUAUAUGUCAUAAGGCAUAGGUACAAUGUAGAAAGAAUAACAGUUGAACUCCUUAGAUAUUCACAGGAGACAAAAUCCAAGAAAGGAGCCAGUAGUAAAAAUCCUGGCCUGAGAUGUCUCUACAUGAAUGCACAAAGGAUGGCUAACAAGAAAGAUUAACUUGAGAUCUCAGUACAAGGAGGUAUAUUUGAUCAUAUAGGUAUCACAGAGUAGGUGGGAUGGGAACUAUGACUUGAAUAUGCCUCUGGAAGCUAUUUUUUAGCUAAAAGAAACCGAAUGGGUAAAAGGGUGUGAGAUAGGUAGGGUAGCACUAUAUAUUAAGAUGGUAUACUUAUGUGAAGAAAUGCGGAACCAUAGUAGGAAAGCAUGAUAGAGAACAUGGUAAAAAUCCUUGGUAGGAGAAACAGAAACACCAUUGUUAUUGUCAUAUAUUUCAGACUACUUGCAUAGAAAAAGGAAUAAAUUAUGAAAAUGAGAAACAUCACAAGCCAAUUACAGAAUUAUGUCUAAUGAGACUAAUGGGGAUGCGGAGGAAAGUUACCAAGCUUUCUAGAUUUCAAAAAGAUAUACCAAAUAGGAAAGUAAAUACAAGUAGCAGAGGAAGAAUCUGAAAACAUGGCCUGAGCCAGUUAGCAGACUGUCUGUCAGAAGUGCUGCAGCAUACACUGAGCUGAUGCUGGUGAGGAAGAAUAAAGACUACAAAAAGUGGUUUCAAACAAAAGCUAUUCUAGUGGGGGGAAGAGCUGAGCAAAAGAAGAGCUAUAGAAUUGAUAUUUUGGUAGGGAAAGCAGUGAUAACAUGACCAAAAAGGAAGGGCUGCUCAGUGUUGACUUUACUUCUGCUUUCUUUGCCAUGGAGAAGGAUCUUUAGACUAGAGAAGACAGAACCCAAGUGGCCAAUAGAGAAUGAACACCCAAGGUAAUUCAGAAGGCAGUAAGAGAGUACCCAGCUAUGCUUGAUGAGUUCAAGUUAACCACAUGCUUAGGUACUGAAGGAAUUGGCAGAUGUAAGUACUGAGUCAUCAGUGAUAUUGGAAAGUUCGUGGCUAGUGGAAGAGGUUCUGUUGGAUUGAAAGGACUAAAGUCCUGAUUUUCAAAAAGGGAAGAGAAUGGAGCCUGAAAAAUAUAAGCCAGUGAGCAUAUCUUUGAUUGCAGGGAAAAUUCUAGAACAUAUUAUUAAAGGAUGGUUAGUGAACAUUUAGAAAAGGAAGUGGUGAUGACAAAGAGCCAGCAUGACUUUAUCAAGAACAGUUCAAGCCAGGCAAUUUAUUCCUUAUUUGACAAUAUUAUUAACCUGGAGAUAGCACAGCUUGGUGGGUAAUGAGUGGGCCCGUGAGUCAACAAUGUCUGGAUUUCAGCACUACUUCUGUCAAAUUUAAGCUGUGGGACUCUAGGCUGAUCACUUAGUCUUUUAGGACCCUAAGCAACUUUGAAAUUACAGAGGAAUUACUGAUCUGCAUUAGUAUAACCUUCAUCAAUGGAGAGAGUUUCCAUACUGGAAGUCUCCCACAGUGAUGACAUCAUAGAUCUGGAUCACCACUUGCAACAAUAAAAGCCCCAAACCAUGUUGGCAGAUUGAGAUAUGCUAAGGAAAUCUUUUUUAACCCUAGGCUUUACGAAAAUAUUUGAUGACGUUUCUGAUGCUAUUUUUAUAGAAAAUAUGGAGGGAAGUGGGCAGGUGAUAGCACAAUUAGAUAAAUCCAAAACGAAUGGAAAAUCUGAACUAAAAAGGUAAUCAUUAAUGGUUUGAAGUCAACAUAGAAAUAUAUCUCUAGGGCAGGGGUUCUGAAAAUGGGGUAUGUGAACUUUUGUUUCUAUUUUGUUUAUGUUUCCUUUACAGAAUACAUAUGAAAUACAUAAUCCUAUGUAUUUCAUUUUAGGUACUUACAAACAGUAUUCUGAGAAGGUAUAGACUCCAUCAGACUGUUGCCGAAGGGGUCCCAUGACACAAAAAGGAUGAAGAACCUCUGUUGCAGUGGAGCACCUCAGAGAACUGUGCUUGGCCUGGAACAUUCUGGAGGACCUCCGCGUUGACAGAGAAUAUUUCUUUGUCUUGGACUUUGUAAUGGAUCUUCUCAACGCCAUUGAAAAAAUCUUUGCUGGGCCAGGAGUAAGACUCAACCCUCCUAAAUUUUCGUCUAGCACACGUCCCACCAAAGCAGAGUUUCUCUUGACACACACUGUACAUUUUCCACCACAAUAGCAAACUGGAACAGUGAAGGAAAUAUCCCUUGUGAGCCUCUUAAUGCUUCCUAGCAGGAUACCCAGCAUUGUAACUUCCCACUUUCCGGAGUCAGCAUUUAGAGAUGGUUGUAAAGACACAAACAAUUUACCACACAACCCCCUGGACAGUGAACUUCAGUAAAUAGGUUCUUGAGGAAAGAUUUAAAUGGAAAGGACAAUGGCUAUAAAAACUUAACAGGAAUUCAUUAGACUCCGCAGAUAGAACAGAUAAAAGACCCAUAAGUACAGACAAGAAGUGGAAGAAAAAUCCUAAAUCAUUAAGAUGCAAUGAAGCUGUGUCACACCACAUUAUAUGGCUCAUCGUAGAGGGCCUGGUCAGUGGAUGUUCAGCUUUGGG